RNAcentral lists this ribosomal RNA (465 nucleotides) under uncultured bacterium. RNAcentral's name for it is "partial 16S ribosomal RNA". It matches the Rfam family "Bacterial small subunit ribosomal RNA", at positions 28 to 507 of the family's 1533-position model. The record is from RNAcentral.
GACGAACGCUGGCGGCGUGCUUAACACAUGCAAGUCGAACGGAAAGGCCCUGCUUGCGGGGUGCUCGAGUGUCGAACGGGUGAGUAAAACGUGGGUGUUAUGCCCUGCACAUCUGGGUAAGACUGGGGAACUGGGUCUAUUACAGGGGAUGAGCCAUUCUUCGUGUGAUGGUUGGAAGGUUUUUUUGGGGUAGGGUGGGCUCGCGGCCUGUCUGCUUGUUGGUUGGGUGAUGGCCUACCUAGGCGGGGUCGGGUAGCCGGCCUGGGGGGGGGGACGGCCACCAUGGGACUUGGAGUAGGGCCCGACUCCUAAGGGGAGCAGCAGGGGGGAAUAAUGCACAAUGGGGGCGAGGCUGAUGCAGCGACGGCGCGUGGGGGAUGACGGGCUUCGGGUUGGAAAAUCCCUUCGCUAGGGAAGAAGCUUUUUGUGACGGUACCUAGAUAAGAAGCACCGGCUAACUACGUG